AGAUCCUGAGCAAGAUGGCAUUUGCAUCAGAGAAAGACUUCCAAAAAAGAAGUGGAAAGGAGAUGCAAUGGGAACAAGAGGAGGAGUUAAGAAACAAAAUCAGCAUCUUUAAAGAUAUGAGAGUCUGUCUCCAGAGGCUGAAUCCAAUAUGGCCUAAAGAGAAUUCUGGCAAUGUUUCUGGCCUGGGACAGUCCAGAAGAAGAGAGCUCCUGCGUGUGUCAAAGAAAGGCUUGCAAAAAAGAAGUGGAAAGGAGAUGCAAUGGGAACAGGAGGAGGUGUCAAGGAAGAAAUGUGGCAUCCUGAAAGAUGUGAGAGUCUGUCUCAGGAGGAUGAAUCCAAUAGAGUCUAAAGAGAAUUCUGGCAAAGCUACUGCCCUUGGAAAGGUGGCAACUACCAGAAAAGAGUAGACGAGAAAGAUGGCAAAGCUCUUCUAGGAAUGACAGAAGCAACCAGAGAGGAAAAUAUUAAAAUGUGUAAAAAACUCUUAAGAGAAGAAGAG
Alligator sinensis (Chinese alligator) is the source of this 499-nucleotide long non-coding RNA. RefSeq lists it as uncharacterized. NCBI's taxonomy places the organism in Eukaryota, Metazoa, Chordata, Crocodylia, Alligatoridae. The transcript has 3 exons. The record is from RefSeq and is a predicted model, not a curated record.